RNAcentral lists this long non-coding RNA (1145 nucleotides) under Carassius auratus (goldfish). RNAcentral describes it as "lncRNA (ENSCARG00000050390.1)". The record is from RNAcentral. Lineage: Eukaryota; Metazoa; Chordata; Actinopteri; Cypriniformes; Cyprinidae.
GUAAAUUUUAAUUUUAAUUCAAAUUAAUCAAUCGAUGGCAACUUAUUGGGACAAUAAAGCCCUCCCUACACCUAUCCUUACCCUACCCAUUACUUUUUAUUCAACUUUUUGAUUAUAUUUCUUCAUUUUCAUUUAAAUUAAAUGCUUUUCUGAUAUGAUUUGAAAUUUGAAAAGAUAAAAAAAAAAGUUUGCCAAAAUGCUAAUUCGAGCCCAUGUCGAUCGCAUCAAAAUGAACACGUCACACAUCUUACCAACUGCCCCACUGGAGCUAACAACUGGUGGUUGUCUUUUGUAAUGUUCACUGGCUGACUCACACGUUGGUGGGCAGAGUUAGUCUAAAUAUCUUCAGCCAACAAGGUGGGCUAUUUGCACUUUUAGUGUAAAUAGACACUCCGGAUAAAAUUGCCCUCACAAAUUACCUUCAUUUUUCCCUAAUGGAACAGUUCAUUUUUUAACCUGGCUGUAACUGCACUAUGUGGCUGAAAAGAGCACCUUUCUCCAUUCACAAUGUCAUUCAUAUUUUUCUUAAUUUAAUGUAGUUGGGGUUGAUGCAUACAAAGUAUGAAAACUGAGUGUUUACUAUUGUGCUUUUGCAUUGACAUAAUAUUUUCCUAUUUUGAUACUGUAAAGCUGCUUUGACACAAGCAAAGCGCUAUAUAAAUUAAGGUGACAAAGAAAAAAAUAUUUAAUCUGAAUGAAAACAUAACUUACAUUAUCUCAACAGGGAGACUUCAUUAAGCUCAAAUUAAAGUAGGAUGUAUGUAAUUUGUUAUGUUACUAGUCUCACCUCAGCUGUGAGAUGUAGGGCAGACACUGCAGGAAUCCCUUCACUUCACUCUCUUCAUCUGUGCAGUCUCUCAGCUCUACUGGUUUCUUCUCUGUUUGGAGUUUCAGCACUUCUAGGAGGAUGGAGCUCUUUCUCUCUGAGAGAUCUAUGCUCCAGACUGCAGGAGCUGACUGAUAAAUUGGCUGUAAUGCUGGAAGAACACUCCUGCCUGUUUGAGUCUCAUAGUCCUUCACAUGUGAACACAGAUCCAGCAGGAAAUCAGUUCUCUCAUAAUUCACAGAUGAUAGCAGUUUCUUCACAGUUUCUUCUAUUGUCUCUUUCUGAUGGAGUGCAGCUUGUAGACACAAAUCCAGUAUGA